RNAcentral lists this ribosomal RNA (825 nucleotides) under Septoria sp. 'astralagi'. Its description in RNAcentral is "eukaryotic LSU rRNA". It matches the Rfam family "Eukaryotic large subunit ribosomal RNA", at positions 71 to 925 of the family's 3401-position model. Lineage: Eukaryota; Fungi; Ascomycota; Dothideomycetes; Mycosphaerellales; Mycosphaerellaceae. The record is from RNAcentral.
GGGAUUGCCCUAGUAACGGCGAGUGAAGCGGCAACAGCUCAAAUUUGAAAUCUGGCGCAAGCCCGAGUUGUAAUUUGUAGAGGAUGCUUCUGGGUAGCGACCGGUCUAAGUUCCUUGGAACAGGACGUCAUAGAGGGUGAGAAUCCCGUAUGUGACCGGCCCGCACCCUUUACGUAGCUCCUUCGACGAGUCGAGUUGUUUGGGAAUGCAGCUCUAAAUGGGAGGUAAAUUUCUUCUAAAGCUAAAUACCGGCCAGAGACCGAUAGCGCACAAGUAGAGUGAUCGAAAGAUGAAAAGUACUUUGGAAAGAGAGUUAAAAAGCACGUGAAAUUGUUGAAAGGGAAGCGCCUACAACCAGACUUCGCGGCAGUGUUCCGCCGGUCUUCUGACCGGUUUAUUCUCUGUCGCGAGGCCAUCAUCGUCUGGGCCCGCCGGAUAAGACCUUAGGAAUGUAGCUCACCUUCGGGGGAGUGUUAUAGCCUAUGGUGAUGCGGCGAGGCUCGGGCGAGGUCCGCGCUUCGGCAAGGAUGAUGGCGUAAUGGUUGUCGGCGGCCCGUCUUGAAACACGGACCAAGGAGUCUAACAUCUAUGCGAGUGUUCGGGUGUCAAACCCCUACGCGUAAUGAAAGUGAACGGAGGUGGGAACCGCAAGGUGCACCAUCGACCGAUCCUGAUGUCCUCGGAUGGAUUUGAGUAAGAGCAUAGCUGUUGGGACCCGAAAGAUGGUGAACUAUGCCUGAAUAGGGUGAAGCCAGAGGAAACUCUGGUGGAGGCUCGCAGCGGUUCUGACGUGCAAAUCGAUCGUCAAAUUUGGGUAUAGGGGCG